This 253-nucleotide ribosomal RNA is filed under the name uncultured bacterium. RNAcentral's name for it is "partial 16S ribosomal RNA". It matches the Rfam family "Bacterial small subunit ribosomal RNA", at positions 524 to 776 of the family's 1533-position model. The record is from RNAcentral.
UACGUAGGGUGCGAGCGUUGUCCGGAAUUAUUGGGCGUAAAGGGCUUGUAGGCGGUCUGUCGCGUCUGCCGUGAAAUUUCGGGGCUCAACCCCGAACUUGCGGUGGGUACGGGCAGACUAGAGUGUGGUAGGGGAGACUGGAAUUCCUGGUGUAGCGGUGAAAUGCGCAGAUAUCAGGAGGAACACCGAUGGCGAAGGCAGGUCUCUGGGCCACUACUGACGCUGAGAAGCGAAAGCAUGGGGAGCGAACAGG